RNAcentral lists this ribosomal RNA (484 nucleotides) under uncultured bacterium. Its description in RNAcentral is "partial 16S ribosomal RNA". It matches the Rfam family "Bacterial small subunit ribosomal RNA", at positions 30 to 507 of the family's 1533-position model. The record is from RNAcentral.
AUUGAACGCUGGCGGCAGGCCUAACCCCUGCAAGUCGAGCGGAUGAAGGGAGCUUGCUCCUGGAUUCAGCGGCGGACGGGUGAGUAAUGCCUAGGAAUCUGCCUGGUAGUGGGGGAUAACGUCCGGAAACGGGCGCUAAUACCGCAUACGUCCUGAGGGAGAAAGUGGGGGAUCUUCGGACCUCACGCUAUCAGAUGAGCCUAGGUCGGAUUAGCUAGUUGGUGGGGUAAAGGCCUACCAAGGCGACGAUCCGUAACUGGUCUGAGAGGAUGAUCAGUCACACUGGAACUGAGACACGGUCCAGACUCCUACGGGAGGCAGCAGUGGGGAAUAUUGGACAAUGGGCGAAAGCCUGAUCCAGCCAUGCCGCGUGUGUGAAGAAGGUCUUCGGAUUGUAAAGCACUUUAAGUUGGGAGGAAGGGCAGUAAGUUAAUACCUUGCUGUUUUGACGGUACCAACAGAAUAAGCACCGGCUAACUUCGUG